AUUGAACGCUGGCGGCAUGCCUUACACAUGCAAGUCGAACGGUAACGCGGGGCAACCUGGCGACGAGUGGCGAACGGGUGAGUAAUGUAUCGGAACGUGCCCAAUAGUGGGGGAUAGCCCGGCGAAAGCCGGAUUAAUACCGCAUGAGACCUGAUGGUGAAAGCGGGGGAUCGCAAGACCUCGCGCGGUUGGAGCGGCCGAUAUCAGAUUAGGUAGUUGGUGGGGUAAAGGCCUACCAAGCCUGCGAUCUGUAGCUGGUCUGAGAGGAUGACCAGCCACACUGGGACUGAGACACGGCCCAGACUCCUACGGGAGGCAGCAGUGGGGAAUUUUGGACAAUGGGCGCAAGCCUGAUCCAGCCAUGCCGCGUGCGGGAAGAAGGCCUUCGGGUUGUAAACCGCUUUUGUCAGGGAAGAAAUCUUCUGGGUUAAUACCUCGGGAGGAUGACGGUACCUGAAGAAUAAGCACCGGCUAACUACGUGCCAGCAGCCGCGGUAA
This 498-nucleotide ribosomal RNA is filed under the name uncultured bacterium. Its description in RNAcentral is "partial 16S ribosomal RNA". It matches the Rfam family "Bacterial small subunit ribosomal RNA", at positions 29 to 523 of the family's 1533-position model. The record is from RNAcentral.